CUUGUCGACGGAUGUCUGGGUGGUGUUGAAAAGUGCGCUUCGGACCUGUUAGAGAACCGUCCACUCCUCCAACCUGUCCCUACAGCUGCUCCCUGCCAAGCAUCCCGAGUUACAAAUAUACAACAACAACAAAAAACGGGGGGGAAAGAGGAUAUUCCGGCUUUAUUACUCGCUGUGUUUCCCUGUCCCCCACUGCCGCCGCCUGCUAAAAGGUGAACGUUUGCAUUGAUGCCGAUCACCCGGCAUCAGCAUAUUCCCUUCAUCGUUUCAGCUCGGACUCCCCCUAUCUGGUCGUGAUAGGUCUUCUGGGCUGACUCUGACAGAAAUGGUGCUAGGAGGCUGGCCCAUUGCUCCUGGGGCCUGUUGAGUUGCUGUCCUCUCAACGGCUUGAGAGCGGAUGACACGCUGCAGCCUGCCCUUGUCCUUGGCUGUGGCUGCAGCGUACCAGACGGUGAUGGAGGAGCAGAGGAUGGACUCGAUGAUGGCCGUGUAAAAGUGCACCAUCAUCGUCUUUGGCAGGUUGAAUUUCUUCAGCUGCCUGAGGAAGAACAACCUCUGCUGCUUAUUGGUGAUGGAGCUGAUGUUCAGCUCCCACUUGAGGUCCUGGGUGAUGAUGGAGCCCAGGAAACGGAAGGAAUCCACAAUAGUGACGGGGGAGUCGCACAGAGUAAUGGGGGAAGGUGGGGCUCUGUUCCUCCGGAAAUCCAC
This is a long non-coding RNA of Gasterosteus aculeatus aculeatus (three-spined stickleback), 708 nucleotides long. NCBI's taxonomy places the organism in Eukaryota, Metazoa, Chordata, Actinopteri, Perciformes, Gasterosteidae. The record is from Ensembl.